Penicillium griseofulvum is the source of this 126-nucleotide transfer RNA. It matches the Rfam family "tRNA". Rfam says of the family: Transfer RNA (tRNA) molecules are approximately 80 nucleotides in length. NCBI's taxonomy places the organism in Eukaryota, Fungi, Ascomycota, Eurotiomycetes, Eurotiales, Aspergillaceae. The record is from Rfam.
GCCUUCGUGGUCUAGUUGGUUAUGACGUCGGUCUCAUAUCCCUUCCCUUGUUCGCAAGGUCUAUAUGACAUUCUUGGUAACAAGAUUGACAUCCGAAGGUCUCCAGUUCGAACCUGGACGAGGGCA